This 891-nucleotide ribosomal RNA is filed under the name Trichoderma sp. 2 BRO-2013. RNAcentral describes it as "eukaryotic LSU rRNA". The stretch from base 659 to 891 matches the Rfam family "Eukaryotic large subunit ribosomal RNA", at positions 1 to 235 of the family's 3401-position model. The record is from RNAcentral. Lineage: Eukaryota; Fungi; Ascomycota; Sordariomycetes; Hypocreales; Hypocreaceae.
UCCGAGACUGAGCCCAGAGAGGUGGGCAACUACCACUCAGGGCCGGAAAGCUCUCCAAACUCGGUCAUUUAGAGGAAGUAAAAGUCGUAACAAGGUCUCCGUUGGUGAACCAGCGGAGGGAUCAUUACCGAGUUUACAACUCCCAAACCCAAUGUGAACGUUACCAAACUGUUGCCUCGGCGGGAUCUCUGCCCCGGGUGCGUCGCAGCCCCGGACCAAGGCGCCCGCCGGAGGACCAACCAAAACUCUUAUUGUAUACCCCCUCGCGGGUUUUUUUAUAAUCUGAGCCUUCUCGGCGCCUCUCGUAGGCGUUUCGAAAAUGAAUCAAAACUUUCAACAACGGAUCUCUUGGUUCUGGCAUCGAUGAAGAACGCAGCGAAAUGCGAUAAGUAAUGUGAAUUGCAGAAUUCAGUGAAUCAUCGAAUCUUUGAACGCACAUUGCGCCCGCCAGUAUUCUGGCGGGCAUGCCUGUCCGAGCGUCAUUUCAACCCUCGAACCCCUCCGGGGGGUCGGCGUUGGGGAUCGGCCCUGCCUUGGCGGUGGCCGUCUCCGAAAUACAGUGGCGGUCUCGCCGCAGCCUCUCCUGCGCAGUAGUUUGCACACUCGCAUCGGGAGCGCGGCGCGUCCACAGCCGUUAAACACCCAACUUCUGAAAUGUUGACCUCGGAUCAGGUAGGAAUACCCGCUGAACUUAAGCAUAUCAAUAAGCGGAGGAAAAGAAACCAACAGGGAUUGCCCCAGUAACGGCGAGUGAAGCGGCAACAGCUCAAAUUUGAAAUCUGGUCCCUAGGGCCCGAGUUGUAAUUUGUAGAGGAUGCUUUUGGUGAGGUGCCGCCCGAGUUCCCUGGAACGGGACGCCACAGAGGGUGAGGAGCCCCGUCUGGCUGGCCG